Molecule: non-coding RNA, 149 nt
Organism: Gossypium raimondii (Peruvian cotton)
Lineage: Eukaryota; Viridiplantae; Streptophyta; Magnoliopsida; Malvales; Malvaceae
Source: Rfam
UAUUAAAAAUUUUAUCCAUCUGCACUAUUAAAAACUGACUUGGCUGAUAGAAUAAUCAGAUAGUGACAUAUGACAUGUCACGUAUACCUUAUACUGAUCACGUAUAAGGACUAAUUUUUAACAAUAAAAAAUAGAUGAAAUUUUUAACA